Molecule: long non-coding RNA, 1384 nt
Organism: Ictidomys tridecemlineatus (thirteen-lined ground squirrel)
Lineage: Eukaryota; Metazoa; Chordata; Mammalia; Rodentia; Sciuridae
Source: RefSeq, a predicted model, not a curated record
UUUCCUCUUUCUAACUUCCAGGGUCCAUGCUGGAAGCUGCACCCUCCCAGUCUGUGUUCCACCUGGAGACGUCCUGCAAGCUGCAGGAGUGGACGUGAAGGCCCCGAGUGUGCGGGAGCAGACAAGCUUCCACGAGAGAUUGGGAGGGAGGAUGAAGCAAGGGAGAAGAAGAGUCACAAGUGAUCCUGAGGUUUUGAGACUGCCCGAGUAAGAGAAGGAUCUAGGUUGCCAUUGACAUGGAUAAGGAAGCCUGCGAGUCGGAGAGACAAAGGACUUCCUGAGGAUAGUGAGGAGGCUGCUUUGUGAUAGGUUAAGAUGGAGUGGAGAUCUGUCGGAGCCCAGCCAACGUGAUGAGUGUGGAUGGUUGGAUGUCCCCAAAAUGCACGCCGGGGAGCUCCUCAGCGGGGAGUCGUGAGGAUGAAAUGAGCUGAAGUGACACAAGUUGUCCUGUGCUGCCUCCAGAGGCCCCGGAUAAGACAGCUGCUCAGCAGAACAGCCAGCCUGGUCCUGCUCCUCGCUGGAGUCCAGCCCAGUGCUGCUUGGUUCCCGCGGAGGAGCUGGGCCUCGGGGUGUCCUGACCAAGGACGGAGGAGCUUCUGUAUAUGUAUCCACCCACCUGGGGCCUCAGGACAGCCGGGGUCCGCUCCACACUUGAGCUUCUCUCUUUUUAUGUCUUUCUGAUCUGCUGGGGACAGAUCGUCAAGAUGGCCUUUUCAAAGCAUUAGGUAGCUGGCUUUGGUGUUGGGCCCCAGCUUAGACACCACCCAGUUCGGUUUUGACUUCAAGGCUCAGUGGAGGCAUCUUUUAUUUUUGACAGAGUAGCUUAUGCCCUAAUUUUGUGUCCGUGACCUUGAAAUCCCUGAUAGCCCUGAUUGAAUUGGAAACUUCUCCUUGAACUUUGAUCAUCUGAUCGGCACCCAAGUGAGACCGCUUGAGGCUCCUCUGGUGAUGGAGGAAAUCACAGAGUGGAGGGAUGGAAGGGAUGCUGCGGUUUGUCCCAAGUGACAUCACACUGAUGCACCCAUGGUCACAUCCACUCACUGAAAAGGUUAUCAGUCCCUCAUAAACUCCCAUUCUCUAAGCAUGAAGCUAUUAACUGCAGCCCCAUCUAAACAGCAAUACCACAGGAGUACCCAGUGUUUAGCCCGGACGUAAGUCACUAUCAGGCAAGAAGUGGAAAUUUUAUAGUGGAGUUUUGUGUAAACUUUUCAAUGAUUUUAAAUAAUAAUAAUAAUUAAAAAACCAGAAUAUAAACUUGCAUUUAUGUCAUACUUAAAACUAAGGGGGGCCAAGAAAAUGGAAAGCUAUGGAAAAUAAAACCAAUUGCUAUGCUUGGGCUAUCGGGAUGAUUUUUCUUUUCUAUUAAAUACUAGUGAGUAUGGUA